Molecule: long non-coding RNA, 1053 nt
Organism: Clupea harengus (Atlantic herring)
Lineage: Eukaryota; Metazoa; Chordata; Actinopteri; Clupeiformes; Clupeidae
Source: Ensembl
UUCCUGAUUGAGACAAUAGACAAAUGUUUCAAAUGGCUAAUGUUUUACCUGCUGUUUAUCUGCGCUGAGUCAGUGAGGACAGUUUGCAUGCGGGUGAGGUGUACGUGGUUGAUACGUGGUCGAAGGGUUGACAUUUAGAGAGGUUGGUGCUGUGGUUUCAAAGCGACGCGUAGCAGUUAGAGUAAGGAGGAGGUGUGUGUGAGGAACAGGGGAGGAGGAGGAGGGAACACACACAGAAAGAAAGAGACAGAAAGAGAGAAAGAAAGACGAUAACAAGCGUGUCCUGGCAUGGGUUUUUCCCCCCAGGGUCGUCUGUGCUUUUACACUCAUCUUGGUAGUUUCACCCCCACCCACAAAUGACAAGAACAGCGGCAUUCAUUAUCGUUUUAAUAUAUCGUCAUCGUUUUAAUACGUCAACAGGCAGCAUUCAUUAUCGUUUUAAUAUAUCGUCAUCGUCUUAAUACGUCAACAGGCAGCAUUCAUUAAAGGUUUUAAUACGUCAACAGCAUUCAUUAUCGUUUUAAUAUAUCGUCAUCGUCUUAAUACGUCAACAGCAUUCAUUAAGGGUUUUAAUACGUCAACAGUCAGCAUUCAUUAAGGGUUUUAAUACGUCAGUCAGCAUUCAUUAAGGGUUUUAAUAAGUCAGUCAGCAUUCAUUAAGGGUUUUAAUACGUCAACAGUCUAAAACUCCAACACAAGGCCUCAUGAGGAUACGGUGUGUAGAUGGCCGCAGACUUCUAUUGGACUAGAGUUAAAUUAGAGCUAUAUUAGCGUUAUAGUAACGUUACACUAGAGUUCCAUCCUACUAUUACAUAUGUACAGAUAUCCACAAGGUGUUUAUACACUAAACAAGUUCCCAGUCUCAAAGAGGAACAUGUAAAUGUUCAAGAAAAGGGUUGAUUUCGGACUGGACUGAGAGCCAGCCUGGUGCGUAAGUGAGCUGCUAUCACACAGAGGUCUGACCAAAUCAGUGGCAUCAGCCAGACGGGAGUCCCAGACAGAGCACAGGUAGUGGAAAUAAACGGGGAGAGAACGGGAGCCUGUGGCCAGGGA